GCCAGGUGCAGGAUCGCACCCCUGUAAUCCCAGCUACUCCAGAGGCUGAGGUGGGAGGAUCGCUUAAGCCCAGGAGUUCUGGGCUGUAGUGCGCUAUGCCAAUAGGGUGUCCGCACUAAGUUGGGCAUCAAUAUGGUGACCUCCCGGGAGCGGAGGACCACCAGGUUGCCUAAGGAGGGGUGAACUGGCCCAGGUCAGAAAUGGAGCAGGUCAAAACUACCCUGCUGAUCAGUAGUGGGAUUGUGCCUGUGAAUAGCCACUGCACUCCAGCCUGGGCAACAUAGCGAGACCCUGUCUCUU
Molecule: unclassified non-coding RNA, 300 nt
Organism: Callithrix jacchus (white-tufted-ear marmoset)
Lineage: Eukaryota; Metazoa; Chordata; Mammalia; Primates; Cebidae
Rfam family: Metazoan signal recognition particle RNA
About the family: The signal recognition particle (SRP) is a universally conserved ribonucleoprotein. It is involved in the co-translational targeting of proteins to membranes.
Source: Ensembl